CACCUGGUUGAUCCUGCCAGUAGUCAUAUGCUUGUCUCAAAGAUUAAGCCAUGCAUGUCUAAGUAUAAGCUUUAAACGGCGAAACUGCGAAUGGCUCAUUAAAACAGUUAUAGUUUAUUUGGUGAUCGAUUACUAUUUGGAUAACCGUAGUAAUUCUAGAGCUAAUACAUGCGUCAAGGCCCGACUUCGGAAGGGCUGCGUUUAUUAGAUACAGAACCAACCUAGGCUCCGCCUAGUCCUUGUUGGUGAUUCAUAAUAACCCGGCGAAUCGCACGGCUUGUCCGGCGAUGGACCAUUCAAGUUUCUGACCUAUCAGCUAUGGACGGUAGGGUAUUGGCCUACCGUGGCGUUGACGGGUAACGGGGAAUUAGGGUUCGAUUCCGGAGAGGGAGCCUGAGAAACGGCUACCACAUCUAAGGAAGGCAGCAGGCGCGCAAAUUACCCAAUCCUGAUACAGGGAGGUAGUGACAAGAAAUAACAAUACAGGGCAAUUCUGUCUUGUAAUUGGAAUGAGUAGAUUUUAAAUCUCUUUACGAGUAUCAAUUGGAGGGCAAGUCUGGUGCCAGCAGCCGCGGUAAUUCCAGCUCCAAUAGCGUAUAUUAAAGUUGUUGCGGUUAAAAAGCUCGUAGUUGGAUUUCUGCCUUGGGCGACCGAUCCACCUUUCCUACGGGAUUGGUCGGUAUCAGGUUUGACCUUGGCUUUUUCUUGGGAUUCGUGCUCACGUACUUAACUGUGCGUUGACCGUGUUCCAAGACUUUUACUUUGAGGAAAUUAGAGUGUUUCAAGCAGGCUUAUGCCAUGAAUACAUUAGCAUGGAAUAAUAGGAUAUGACUUCGGUCAUAUUUUGUUGGUUUCUAGGACUGAAGUAAUG
Molecule: non-coding RNA, 871 nt
Filed under: Perkinsus marinus ATCC 50983
Lineage: Eukaryota; Perkinsozoa; Perkinsida; Perkinsidae
Description: Eukaryotic small subunit ribosomal RNA
Rfam family: Eukaryotic small subunit ribosomal RNA
Source: Rfam by way of RNAcentral